Molecule: ribosomal RNA, 169 nt
Filed under: uncultured Alphaproteobacteria bacterium
Lineage: Bacteria; Pseudomonadati; Pseudomonadota; Alphaproteobacteria
Description: partial 16S ribosomal RNA
Rfam family: Bacterial small subunit ribosomal RNA
Source: RNAcentral
CGGGAGGCAGCAGUGGGGAAUAUUGGACAAUGGGCGCAAGCCUGAUCCAGCCAUGCCGCGUGAGUGAUGAAGGCCUUAGGGUCGUAAAGCUCUUUCACCGGAGAAGAUAAUGACGGUAUCCGGAGAAGAAGCCCCGGCUAACUUCGUGCCAGCAGCCGCGGUAAUACGG